UUGGCAAUGAUGAGCUGCGCAGGGGUACGGACCCCGGCUAAUAAUGGGUGCCGGAUGCUCCCUCUGACUCCUCGACCCUUGCAUGUGGUAGGGGCUUUUGAGGAUAGAGUCAUUGGAUGCAUGAAAUAUUGCCUGAACUGAGCCAA
This 146-nucleotide small nucleolar RNA is filed under the name Eptatretus burgeri (inshore hagfish). RNAcentral's name for it is "Small nucleolar RNA SNORD94 (ENSEBUG00000000234.1)". It matches the Rfam family "Small nucleolar RNA SNORD94". Rfam says of the family: The members of this family belong to the C/D class of snoRNAs which contain the C (UGAUGA) and D (CUGA) box motifs. Most of the members of the box C/D family function in directing site-specific 2'-O-methylation of substrate RNAs. The record is from Rfam by way of RNAcentral. Lineage: Eukaryota; Metazoa; Chordata; Myxini; Myxiniformes; Myxinidae.